AGCAGCCCCGUCCAGAUCCGAAGCAAUCUUGGGAAAUGUGUACUCAGCCGAUGCAUUGGUGAGCUGUAGAAAGUCUAUGACGGUCACUGAAUAAAGUGGCCUCAUAUGAACACAAUGCAACAAGAGUGAAUCUAUAUUUCUCUUACGGUCCAACUGAAACUAUGUGCAUUGCCUUAUAAGCACUGGCACGGCCCAUGUACCUCCAAAGUCUCCAAAGUAUAAUGGUGAAUCCUCCCCGGCCCUAAUUCGGAGGGAAUUGCCCUUC
This is a long non-coding RNA of Acanthaster planci (crown-of-thorns starfish), 265 nucleotides long. The record is from RefSeq and is a predicted model, not a curated record. NCBI's taxonomy places the organism in Eukaryota, Metazoa, Echinodermata, Asteroidea, Valvatida, Acanthasteridae.